Non-coding RNA from Peromyscus maniculatus bairdii (prairie deer mouse), 1408 nucleotides. Lineage: Eukaryota; Metazoa; Chordata; Mammalia; Rodentia; Cricetidae. The record is from RefSeq and is a predicted model, not a curated record.
UUUUUAUUACAUCAUGUCUAUAGAAAAGAUCGCUAAGCACUCAGCAUCUGAAGAAAUUGAAUUAAAAUAUUGAUUUUAAUUACUAAAUUUUUUCAGAGUUUUAUUAAUCAAGAUAAAAGAAAAACAGAAGAUGAAGAUAAAUCACAAUCAUUUAUGCAGAAAUAUGAGCAAAAAAUCCGACAUUUUGAUUGAGUGCUUCGGUUAAAUGCAGUUCUGUGUGGGAAAACCUCCCAGCUUCACAAGAUGUUGUAAUCCACCUGACACUGAGACUCAGUCUUCAGUAGACCCUUUCCUCACUGUGUAAAACCGGCUGUUUCUGAGUAGUCCAUGACUUAUAGCCACUCCCAGAUUCACAUUGUACCUGUUUCUUAGUGGAAAUGCACAUUGGCUUUUCACUUUGGAGGAGAUACCCUACUUGCUGCAGCACAUUGGAUCCACAGAAAUGUUCCUAAGGUAGUAGGCUCCCAAACUUUUCAUGUGUUUAACUUUCCACUCUCUGGCAUAUGUGUAUCUUAUUAUAUAUAAAUAGGCAUCUGGGGCAUCUACUACUUCUGCCUGCCAAGUUCCAUGAACAUAGAGUGGACUAAAUUUACAGUUACACAGGUGAUGAGAUAGCAGAAUCCACAUUUACAAAGUGGUAGCACAGUUGAUAGAGGCCCGAGACAAGAGUUUGAAGGUUUGAUGCAGUCCACCUUUGGAGAAAACAAAUACUUAUGCUAGUGUAUGCUAUCAGUAAAGAAAAAAAGCAUUGUCAGACUGAUAGGUAUAUUGAUGAACUCCUUAAAAAACAUCUGGAAUGGCAGCUGUAAUUAAAGUUUCCAAGUUGGAUUCUGUUGUAGACUCUUAAAAGAGGGCCUGGUGAAGGUGAGCUGUCUGUGCAGGACAGCAGGCACUUCAAACCAAUACUUGUCUCGUUUGUACUUUCGUUCUUCAUAGUUCUUCCUAAUUCUCUCUUGUCCUGUUGGAUGACUCUCUUCUCCCGUUGCUUUUUACCCUUCUACUUAGAUGAAGUUUACCGAUUAAAUGGUACCAUUGUUGCAGUGUUAAAGAUUAUUGAAUCUGACUUUCCUUUACAUUUUUGUUGGUUGGUUGAUUCAUGCUUUAGAAAUCAAAAUGCUGAUUUAGACACAGCAUGUUUCCUAUUCAUAUUCACAACCAUUUACAGUGAUUUAACUGUUUAACCCCUUUAACAUCACCGUCUUUGUGAUUCUUGGAGCUGCUCUUUGAAUUGUGCAGUGGUUUUUCAGAGCACAUCAUUUUCCCUUCCAGCCAUAGUUAACUUUGAUUCAGCUUUUUCUGAAUCUCUGUAGGAUGUGGUCACUGGGAAAUUAAUCAAAAACUAUAAACAUUUGUAUAAAAACUUUUUUCAUUUAUAAUAUCUCGAUUCUAUUCACUUGUGCUUUACUUU